Molecule: ribosomal RNA, 253 nt
Filed under: uncultured bacterium
Lineage: Bacteria
Description: partial 16S ribosomal RNA
Rfam family: Bacterial small subunit ribosomal RNA
Source: RNAcentral
UACGAAGGGGACUAACGUUGUUCGGAAUUACUGGGCGUAAAGCGCACGUAGGCGGAUUGUUAAGUCGGGGGUGAAAUCCCGGGGCUCAACUCCGGAAUGGCCUCCGAUACUGGCAAUCUUGAGGUCGGGAGAGGUGAGUGGAAUGGCGAGUGUAGAGGUGAAAUUCGUAGAUAUUCGCCGGAACACCAGUGGCGAAGGCGGCUCACUGGCCCGAUAAUGACGCUGAGGUGCGACAGCGUGGGGAGCAAACAGG